GGACAGAAUGUUAUGAAAAUACACAUAUUGUUCCCACUCCAGGAGUCCACAGAAAUUCAAUUUAAAGGGGAAGCUACAAUGAUGUCCUUAACAAAUCUAUUCUUAGUCUUAUAGAAGGGUCAGGAUGCAAGUCCAAAAUGUUGGCUUUACCUGUUCUAACCUAGUAAUGGUCUUUGAGAAAUUGAGGGUUUAUUUUGGGAACUAAUUUUUCUGGCUUCAUUAGUGCUACAUUUGCCAACAGGUAAAUUUCCAACAUAUUCCAAUUGUAUUUAGAGAAUUGAUGGAGGUAUUUUUAUGUUUCUUGGCUACUUUCUUAUUUUUGUCACAAAUAAUCUGUAGUAAAAAAACAGCAAACCAAGUGUUACAAAAACAGAACAAGAAGAUCUGGGGAAGAACAAAGGAAAAUUGAAAAUUGCAAGUAAAAUGAUCUACUUUUUUCCAGGAUAGAAGGGGGAUAGACUCCCCAAAGUUAGUUGAUCCUAUUUUGUAUCACUGAAGAAAAUAUUCAAAGAAAAAUGGGGAAAAUGCAUUAAAAGUUGAAUUUCUAUAAAGUAACUACAAAAAAAUUUACACUGUGUUGAAGUUAGAAAACAUUGCAGUAGAGUAUCCUUUUAUGUUAUUCAUCCUUCCUUUAUUCUCUGAAUUACUUAGCAUGUUUUACAAAUCAUUAGGAAAAAGUUUCCAUAAUGAUACUACUGGAAAUUAGAGUAAACUGUUAGUGAAAGCAUUUUAAGACUGUUCUUUAAUGUUAUGCUGUUUAUAAAUAUAAUUUAAUAGUAUUUAGCAAAUAUCUUGAAGAGCCAUUAAAAUGACAUUACAUUUUGUAAUCAGUACCUAUAUAAGACUUUCCCUCUAUUUUGUCUUUGCUUCCCAAUUAGUAUCUGUACUACAAAGUCUGAAGUAACAAAAUUCUGUUUUUGUCCCAACUCUCAAGGUUAUAAAGUUAUGCUCUACAGCUUUGGGAAUCUACAACCAGAUCUCAUAAUGCUACAUUAUGGCUAUUUUUUUGUCCUUUACUGCAGAUUAAAUUUCUUAAGGCCAUCACUUUUAAAUGAUCAAAGAAAUAGUGUUGAUCUAAAUAAAACUGAUGAGGUAAAAAUGGAAAAGUGGAUCAAAAAGAGUAAAUUUUGAAGAAAUAAUAUAAUAGGCUUUCUCAGAUGAGAAAGUUAUUUUCAAUAAGAAAUUUUAGAGAUUCCUAUUUGUCAUAUGCAAAAUGUGUCACAUACUCAAGCUACUUAACCCCUUCUACUACCCCCAAAAGGAGAAUAUUUGUUGGAAGCUUAAAAUCAAAAAAUAUAGCUUAAAUUCAAACAAGCAGCAUUAAUACCAAUAUACUAACAAGAAGAUAUUAAACUUUAAACCAUAAAAUUGUGGGUCAUAGAAGAAGCUUACUAGGAAAUUAUCCUAUUUAUAGUUCCACACUAUUUCAAUUUGAAAUAAGCAUUUUCAUUAGAAAUUAUCUUUUUAUGAUAGAUUCACAUACUUUUAUACCACUUUGAGCAAUAAAGUAAAGCUGCAUUGUUAUUUUAACCUUUGCCUUAAAACAUUUUUAAAAAAUGAUGCCUAGAAAACCUUAUGAACUGCCUUUGGGGAGGGGGGGGGGUAUUAAGAUUUCAUUCAACUAAGGUUAGACUAUAUCAUGAAACCGCUUUUCCCAGCUUUUUUCCAGGAAAUCAUUUACUUAAAAAUAAAAGCUUUUAGUGUUGUUCAUUUCAUCUAUAAGAAAGUAAAAGUAUUUUAUGAUGCCAUAACAAUUGGAAUAAAGAAACUAAUAUAUGCAAUUUCAAUUUAGAGUUAUUUUGUUACCAUACAUACAAGGCUAAAUUAAAUGAGUUUUCCUGAUAACAGAUCAAUUGAUUGGUUUGGGCAGAAGAGGUGAAAAAAAUUUAUUCAAAUAAUUUCUCAUUAAUCUGAACUGUGAUAUUUAAUUUUUUAAAUGUCGGUACUUCUCAAAUUGAGACAUUUAAGUGAGUUUAUUUUUUAUCUUUCAUUGAUUGAUGGCUUUUGUUUUGGUUGAUUCAGCAUGUUGGUAAAAUUAUAUGUAUCAUGCUAGACUUGAUUUUUCUCACAUGUUUAGUUUUCCCUGUAAAACUAUGAAUGGUUUUUCACUUUGAUAAGAAAAAUAUUUCAAAUAAUAUUGCAUGUAGGUUAAUUUAAUGUUAUAUCUGUUAGUAUCCUUGGUUAAAGAAAAAUAUGAAGAGUCAUUGUACUUUAUGUAUUUCAGAGCCAGAUCUAAUACCUCUCCUAAUGUCUUAAAGUUUGGUUUUGAUCUUGAGCAGAAUUAAAUUAACACAUAUUUAGAACAGUUAUGUUACUUUUAAUAUGU
Sarcophilus harrisii (Tasmanian devil) is the source of this 2326-nucleotide long non-coding RNA. The record is from Ensembl. NCBI's taxonomy places the organism in Eukaryota, Metazoa, Chordata, Mammalia, Dasyuromorphia, Dasyuridae.